CGGUGGAGCAUGUAGGUUUAUCGAAGCAACGCGAAGAACCUUACCGAGGCCUUGACAUGCGUAGGGAACCCGGGUGAAAGCCUGGGGUGCCCCGCGAGGGGAGCCCUAGCACAGGUGCUGCAUGGCCGUCGUCAGCUCGUGCCGUGAGGUGUUGGGUUAAGUCCCGCAACGAGCGCAACCCCCGCCGUUAGUUGCCAGCGGUUCGGCCGGGCACUCUAACGGGACUGCCCGCGAAAAGCGGGAGGAAGGAGGGGACGACGUCUGGUCAGCAUGGCCCUUACGGCCUGGGCGACACACGUGCUACAAUGCCCACUACAAAGCGAGGCCACCCGGCAACGGGGAGCUAAUCGCAAAAAGGUGGGCCCAGUUCGGAUUGGGGUCUGCAACCCGACCCCAUGAAGCCGGAAUCGCUAGUAAUCGCGGAUCAGCCAUGCCGCGGUGAAUACGUUCCCGGGCCUU
RNAcentral lists this ribosomal RNA (459 nucleotides) under uncultured Thermus sp. RNAcentral describes it as "bacterial SSU rRNA". It matches the Rfam family "Bacterial small subunit ribosomal RNA", at positions 930 to 1382 of the family's 1533-position model. The record is from RNAcentral. Lineage: Bacteria; Thermotogati; Deinococcota; Deinococci; Thermales; Thermaceae.